CCUACGGGAGGCAGCAGUGGGGAAUAUUGGACAAUGGGCGAAAGCCUGAUCCAGCAAUGCCGCGUGUGUGAAGAAGGCCUUCGGGUUGUAAAGCACUUUCGUUGGGGAAGAAAGCCUUGGGGCUAAUACCCUCGGGGAAGGACAUCACCCACAGAAGAAGCACCGGCUAACUCCGUGCCAGCAGCCGCGGUAAUACGGAGGGUGCGAGCGUUAAUCGGAAUUACUGGGCGUAAAGCGCGCGUAGGCGGUCUGAUAAGCCGGUUGUGAAAGCCCCGGGCUCAACCUGGGAACUGCAUCCGGAACUGUCAGGCUAGAGUGCAGGAGAGGAAGGUAGAAUUCCCGGUGUAGCGGUGAAAUGCGUAGAGAUCGGGAGGAAUACCAGUGGCGAAGGCGGCCUUCUGGACUGACACUGACGCUGAGGUGCGAAAGCGUGGGUAGCAAACAGGAUUAGAUACCCCAGUAGUC
RNAcentral lists this ribosomal RNA (465 nucleotides) under Vreelandella stevensii. Its description in RNAcentral is "partial 16S ribosomal RNA". It matches the Rfam family "Bacterial small subunit ribosomal RNA", at positions 338 to 795 of the family's 1533-position model. The record is from RNAcentral. Lineage: Bacteria; Pseudomonadati; Pseudomonadota; Gammaproteobacteria; Oceanospirillales; Halomonadaceae.